Molecule: ribosomal RNA, 1452 nt
Filed under: uncultured fungus
Lineage: Eukaryota; Fungi
Description: eukaryotic LSU rRNA
Rfam family: Eukaryotic large subunit ribosomal RNA (bases 700-1452)
Source: RNAcentral
CUUGGUCAUUUAGAGGAAGUAAAAGUCGUAACAAGGUUUCCGUAGGUGAACCUGCGGAAGGAUCAUUAAACAUUUUAUUUUAUCCAUAUGGAUGAUUUAAAAAAUCCAUAUCCACCCUUGUGUGAAUUCACUGAAAAAGUUAUACUUCGGUAGCGUUGAAUGAGAAUGCUUUUUAAAGUAACUGGUGUUCGAAAUUCAUGUUGCCGAAAGUAUUUUUUAAUUUUCAUCACUCUUCAAAAAUUUUAUAUCUUAUUUUACGAAAUUUUAAUAUUUCAACCAAAAAUUUAAUACAACUUUCAACAACGGAUCUCUUGGCUCUCGCAUCGAUGAAGAACGCAGCGAAAUGCGAUAAAUAAUGUGAAUUGCAGAAUUCAGUGAAUCAUCGAAUCUUUGAACGCAUAUUGCGCUCUCUGGUAUUCCGGAGAGCAUGCCUGUUUCAGUAUCAGUAUUACCCCUCAAACUAAAAAUAUUUUUUAGUUUUGGAUUUGAACGUCCGGUUGAAUUGUAAUCUUUUUUAUGAUAUAACCACGUUUGAAAUAAAGCCACUUGAGGUUUCGCAGACCCCAGAACAAGGCGAAAAGCGUAAUAGUUGACCUUUUUUGGUCAUCUUCUUCGCUGAAAGCCUUUUGUUUUGGGAAAAGUUUGCAAAAUCUUGUAUGUGAUUGCAGGAAAAACUACUAUUAAUUUAGUCUAUUUUCUUGAUCUGAAAUCAGGUAGGAUUACCCGCUGAACUUAAGCAUAUCAAUAAGCGGAGGAAAAGAAACUAACAAGGAUUCCCUUAGUAACGGCGAGUGAAGCGGGAAAAGCUCAAAUUUAAAAUCUCGUCGGUUUCUCCGGCGCGAAUUGUAGUUUAUGGAAGCGUUUUUUCGGCAGAAGCCUAGGUACAAGUCCUUUGGAACAGGGUAUCAUAGAGGGUGAGAAUCCCGUCUCUGACCUUGGUUUUUCUGCUAUGUGAUACGUUCUCCGAGAGUCAGGUUGUUUGGGAAUGCAGCCUAAAAUGGGUGGUAAAUUUCAUCUAAAGCUAAAUAUUGGCGAGAGACCGAUAGCGAACAAGUACCGUGAGGGAAAGAUGAAAAGAACUUUGAAAAGAGAGUUAAACAGUACGUGAAAUUGUUGAAAGGGAAACGUUUGGAUCCAACAAUGCUUGCGGUGUGAUCAUCUUCGGGUGCUCUCACCCGUUAGCAAGUUAGCGUCGGUUUGGAUUGCCGGAUAAAAACCAAGGGAAUGUGGCUCACUUUCGGGAGAGUGUUAUAGCCCUGGUCGAUACGGUGAUCUGGACUGAGGUCUGCAGCCGAACUUUUUGUUGGGGUCACAGCCGCUGGGUGCGCGUCUAUGGUAGACAGCUUGCUGACUAUUGUAGAAGGAGUCGUGUCCACACGGUCGUUUUACCUACACUUCCGGCUUAGGUCGCUGACUUAAUGGUUCCAAAUGACCCGUCUUGAAACACGGACC